AUUGAACGCUGGCGGCAGGCCUAACACAUGCAAGUCGAGCGGUUGAAGGGAGCUUGCUCCUGGAUUCAGCGGCGGACGGGUGAGUAAUGCCUAUGAAUCUGCCUGGUAGUGGGGGAUAACGUCCGGAAACGGGCGCUAAUACCGCAUACGUCCUGAGGGAGAAAGUGGGGGAUCUUCGGACCUCACGCUAUCAGAUGAGCCUAGGUCGGAUUAGCUAGUUGGUGGGGUAAAGGCCUACCAAGGCGACGAUCCGUAACUGGUCUGAGAGGAUGAUCAGUCACACUGGAACUGAGACACGGUACAGACACCGACGGGAGGCAGCAGUGGGGAAGAUUGGACGCUGGGCGAAAGCCUGAUCCAGCGAUGCCGGGUGUGUGAAGAAGGUCUUCGGAUUGUAUAGCACUUUAAGUUGGGAGGAAGGGUAGUAAGUUAAUACAUUGCUGUUUUGACGUUACCAACAGAAGAAGCACCGGCUAACUUCGUG
RNAcentral lists this ribosomal RNA (484 nucleotides) under uncultured bacterium. RNAcentral's name for it is "partial 16S ribosomal RNA". It matches the Rfam family "Bacterial small subunit ribosomal RNA", at positions 30 to 507 of the family's 1533-position model. The record is from RNAcentral.